RNAcentral lists this ribosomal RNA (510 nucleotides) under uncultured beta proteobacterium. Its description in RNAcentral is "bacterial SSU rRNA". It matches the Rfam family "Bacterial small subunit ribosomal RNA", at positions 67 to 572 of the family's 1533-position model. Lineage: Bacteria; Pseudomonadati; Pseudomonadota; Betaproteobacteria. The record is from RNAcentral.
CGGCAGCACGGGGGCAACCCUGGUGGCGAGUGGCGAACGGGUGAGUAAUACAUCGGAACGUGUCCAGUCGUGGGGGAUAACCAGUCGAAAGACUGGCUAAUACCGCAUGAGAUCGAGAGAUGAAAGCAGGGGACCGCAAGGCCUUGCGCGAUUGGAGCGGCCGAUGUCGGAUUAGCUUGUUGGUGAGGUAAAAGCUCACCAAGGCGACGAUCCGUAGCUGGUUUGAGAGAACGACCAGCCACACUGGGACUGAGACACGGCCCAGACUCCUACGGGAGGCAGCAGUGGGGAAUUUUGGACAAUGGGGGCAACCCUGAUCCAGCCAUGCCGCGUGUGUGAAGAAGGCCUUCGGGUUGUAAAGCACUUUCGGACGGAACGAAAUCGCGUCGGUGAAUAUCCGGCGUGGAUGACGGUACCGUAAGAAGAAGCACCGGCUAACUACGUGCCAGCAGCCGCGGUAAUACGUAGGGUGCGAGCGUUAAUCGGAAUUACUGGGCGUAAAGCGUGCGC